This 508-nucleotide ribosomal RNA is filed under the name uncultured bacterium. Its description in RNAcentral is "bacterial SSU rRNA". It matches the Rfam family "Bacterial small subunit ribosomal RNA", at positions 411 to 911 of the family's 1533-position model. The record is from RNAcentral.
AAGGCCUUCGGGUUGUAAACCGCUUUUGUCAGGGAAGAAAUCUUCUGGGCUAAUACCUCGGGAGGAUGACGGUACCUGAAGAAUAAGCACCGGCUAACUACGUGCCAGCAGCCGCGGUAAUACGUAGGGUGCAAGCGUUAAUCGGAAUUACUGGGCGUAAAGCGUGCGCAGGCGGUUUUGUAAGACAGAGGUGAAAUCCCCGGGCUUAACCUGGGAACUGCCUUUGUGACUGCAAGGCUUGAGUGCGGCAGAGGGGGAUGGAAUUCCGCGUGUAGCAGUGAAAUGCGUAGAUAUGCGGAGGAACACCGAUGGCGAAGGCAAUCCCCUGGGCCUGCACUGACGCUCAUGCACGAAAGCGUGGGGAGCAAAACAGGAUUAGAUACCCUGGUAGUCCACGCCCUAAACGAUGUCAACUGGUUGUUGGGAGGGUUUCUUCUCAGUAACGUAGCUAACGCGUGAAGUUGACCGCCUGGGGAGUACGGCCGCAAGGUUGAAACUCAAAGGAAUU